Molecule: ribosomal RNA, 853 nt
Filed under: uncultured bacterium
Lineage: Bacteria
Description: bacterial SSU rRNA
Rfam family: Bacterial small subunit ribosomal RNA
Source: RNAcentral
GACGAACGCUGGCGGCGUGCUUUACACAUGCAAGUCGAGCGAUGAGAUCCCUUCGGGGAUGGAUUAGCGGCGAACGGGUGAGGAACACGUGAGGAAUCUACCUUCAACACUGGGAUAACUCCGGGAAACCGGGGCUAAUACCGGAUACGAGAUCAGCAGGCAUCUGCAGGUCUGGAAAGUUUUUCGGUUGAAGAUGACCUCGCGGCCUAUCAGCUUGUUGGUGAGGUAAUGGCUCACCAAGGCGACGACGGGUAGCCGGCCUGAGAGGGCGACCGGCCACACUGGGACUGAGACACGGCCCAGACUCCUACGGGAGGCAGCAGUGGGGAAUAUUGGGCAAUGGAGGGAACUCUGACCCAGCGACGCCGCGUGCGGGAUGAAGGCCUUCGGGUUGUAAACCGCUUUCAGCAAGGAAGAAGCGAAAGUGACGGUACUUGCAGAAGAAGCACCGGCUAACUAUGUGCCAGCAGCCGCGGUAAUACAUAGGGUGCAAGCGUUGUCCGGAAUUAUUGGGCGUAAAGAGCUCGUAGGUGGUUCGUCACGUCGGAUGUGAAAAUCUGGGGCUUAACCCCAGACCUGCAUUCGAUACGGGCGAGCUAGAGUGUGGUAGGGGAGACUGGAAUUCCUGGUGUAGCGGUGGAAUGCGCAGAUAUCAGGAGGAACACCAAUGGCGAAGGCAGGUCUCUGGGCCAUUACUGACACUGAGGAGCGAAAGCGUGGGGAGCGAACAGGAUUAGAUACCCUGGUAGUCCACGCCGUAAACGGUGGGCACUAGUUGUGGGAACCUUCCACGGUUUCUGCGACGCAGCUAACGCAUUAAGUGCCCCGCCUGGGGAGUACGAUCGCAAGAUUA